CUCAGGAUGAACGCUAGCGGCAGGCUAACACAUGCAAGUCGAGGGGCAGCGGGAUGUAGCAAUACAUUGCCGGCGACCGGCGGAUGGGUGCGUAACGCGUAUGCAACCUACCUUAUACAGGGGAAUAACCUUUCGAAAGGGAGACUAACACCCCAUAGUAUUGAUUUAAGGCAUCUUAGAUUAAUUAAAUAUUUAUAGGUAUAAGAUGGGCAUGCGUAUGAUUAGCUAGUUGGUAAGGUAACGGCUUACCAAGGCGACGAUCAUUAGGGGUUCUGAGAGGAAGGUCCCCCACACUGGUACUGAGACACGGACCAGACUCCUACGGGAGGCAGCAGUGAGGAAUAUUGGUCAAUGGGCGCAAGCCUGAACCAGCCAUGCCGCGUGCAAGGAAGACGGCCUUAUGGGUUGUAAACUGCUUUUACAUAAGACUAACCGUAUAUUUGCGAAUAUACCUGAAUGUAUUAUGAGAAUAAGGAUCGGCUAACUCCGUGCCAGCCGCCGC
Molecule: ribosomal RNA, 502 nt
Filed under: uncultured bacterium
Lineage: Bacteria
Description: bacterial SSU rRNA
Rfam family: Bacterial small subunit ribosomal RNA
Source: RNAcentral